UAUUGCGCAAUGGACGAAAGUCUGACGCAGCGACGCCGCGUGGAGGAUGAAGGUUUUCGGAUCGUAAACUCCUGUCAAGAGGGAAGAAACCUAUUAAGAAUAAUACUCUUAGUAAUUGACGGUACCUCUAGAGGAAGCACCGGCUAAUUCAGUGCCAGCAGCCGCGGUAAUACUGAAGGUGCAAGCGUUAAUCGGAAUCACUGGGCGUAAAGCGCUCGUAGGUGGCUUUGUAAGUCAGAUGUGAAAGCCCACGGCUCAACCGUGGAAUUGCAUUUGAUACUGCAUCGCUAGAGUAUAGGAGAGGGAAGUGGAAUUUCUGGUGUAGGAGUGAAAUCCGUAGAGAUCAGAAGGAACACCAGUGGCGAAGGCGACUUCCUGGACUAUUACUGACACUGAGGAGCGAAAGCGUGGGGAGCAAACAGGAUUAGAUACCCUGGUAGUCCACGCCGUAAACGAUGGGUACUAAGUGUCGGAGGCUUGACCUUCGGUGCUGUAGUUAACGCGUUAAGUACCCCGCCUGGGGAGUACGGUCGCAAGGCUGAAACUCAAAGGAUUUGACGG
RNAcentral lists this ribosomal RNA (561 nucleotides) under Desulfovibrio sp. sponge 85CD. Its description in RNAcentral is "bacterial SSU rRNA". It matches the Rfam family "Bacterial small subunit ribosomal RNA", at positions 362 to 916 of the family's 1533-position model. The record is from RNAcentral. Lineage: Bacteria; Pseudomonadati; Thermodesulfobacteriota; Desulfovibrionia; Desulfovibrionales; Desulfovibrionaceae.